This 760-nucleotide long non-coding RNA is filed under the name Hordeum vulgare. RNAcentral's name for it is "long non-coding RNA (HVUL_LNC018706)". The record is from RNAcentral. Lineage: Eukaryota; Viridiplantae; Streptophyta; Magnoliopsida; Poales; Poaceae.
CCGAUAUGCCAAGUCACCAAACUUGGUCAUAUCAACGCUUUCAUAUUAACACCAUUCACACACACUUGGUUUAUGCGGAACGACUGGACGUAGUUUAAGCAGGAUUACCCAACUGUCCUUGACUGUGGACACGACUAUUCAAAUAGUUUUACGCUCUGCAGAGGUAGUACGCUGGACCCAUGAGAUCUGGGAAACUUCCGUGUCGUCCACGACUCGCGGUAUAUAACAUACCCGAGGUAAGUACCCGAUCAAUGCCUUUCCCCUGACGAUACUAGACAAAGAGAUCCACUCGAUUGGUACCCAGCCCACAUGUUGUACAUCUUACGAGCAUCGACUCUGGACAGUAGCAACCAUGCGGGGACCAACGGUGUGCCUGGAACACGUAAAAACGACAUAGUCGCCCUACCUGACACGACCCCAUCACGAGAGUGACCACACAUCACUCCCGCCACUAGUAAUGUGGUUCUUUGCUAGCACCGACCAGAGUAAUCAACAAGGCCACAUCCCAUUAAGGGGUAACGUGGUCGUACAUGUAAGGUUGGGAUGGUCGACACAUCAUAAAUAUAUUCCCAUUUCUGAAACCAUAUACACUCAAAAUACCUGGUGCACCACUUCACCAAAAGUGGCCACCUAACUCAUCAUCCCCCUCGGGCAUUAGUGGCAACCGACGGGGUUUUCAUAAACCUUUGAUUUAUACCAUCAUCAUGCUCAUGCUACCAUGCUUAGCUCUACUUGUCAACAUGAUAUUAGCGUGACCCUC